AUACGGAGGUUGCAAGCGUUAUUCGGAAUCACUGGGCGUAAAGGACGCGUAGGCGGGUUGGCAAGUCAGAUGUGAAAUCCUACAGCUUAACUGUAGAACUGCAUUUGAAACUGCUAACCUAGAGUAUGGGAGGGGGAGAUGGAAUUAGUGGUGCAGGGGUAAAAUCCGUAGAUAUCACUAGGAAUACCGAAAGCGAAGGCGAUCUCCUGGAACAUAACUGACGCUAAGGCGUGAAAGCGUGGGGAGCAAACAGGAUUAGAAACCCUAGUAGUCC
RNAcentral lists this ribosomal RNA (274 nucleotides) under uncultured bacterium. Its description in RNAcentral is "partial 16S ribosomal RNA". It matches the Rfam family "Bacterial small subunit ribosomal RNA", at positions 523 to 796 of the family's 1533-position model. The record is from RNAcentral.